AAGAGCAAGACAAACCUUGUGCGGGCAUCGCCCACCUCCAAUAAACCGCAUCCUUGUUUCCUCCAUAGCCUGCCCAGCUCUUUAUCAACGCCCUCUCAAUUUUAUCUUAUGGUUUUGAGACAGAGUCUCCUGUAUCCCAGGCUAGUGUCAAACUUGCUAUGUCACUGAGAAAACCUCUGAACUUCGAUCCUUACUACCUUCACCUGUUCCCACCCAAGACUGUGGGACUCAAGUCCGCACUACCGUGCGGGAUUUAUCUAGAGCUUCACAUAGGCCAUAUGAACUCUCCGCCAGCUAAGCACGUCUCCCCGUAACUGUUCGGGAAACUCUCAAUUCUGUUUCUUUCCCACAUAAGCAAUUCAGUGUGUUUCACACUGGAACAUUGAAUGAUUCCUUAAAUGCUGCCCUCUAAUGACCAAGCAACACACCAUGUGUAAAAGUUGAAUGUGCACAUCAUGUUCGCUUUCCUUUGUUCAAAUCAGAAUACAAGUGAGGUUCAUGGAUUGCAUCUGGUUGAUAUUCACUUUAUUCUUUGUUUUUAGGUUCUUUCUCAUUGGAGGGCUUAAAGUAACGGGAUUUAUACUUCUUCCGGUUUGAAAAAAAUCUCUGCAUAAGCUCUGUGUGCCAUUGAGAAAGCCAUCACAAGAGCGUGAUGGAGGAAGCAGCAGCUGCUGGCAUCUGUGAUGUGUGACCUAGCAGCCUGUGAAAACAGUCCGGACGCGUGACACCAGAGGAGGAAAGCAUUCGGAAGGAUAUUAUUUAAAGUGACAGCAUGACCUGGUAGAAUUAAUGAUUCAUCCCUAAGAGACAACAAAGAAGUACCUGGCUUUGAAAUUCAAUUAUUAGGAAGACCCAGGAGCUGAGCCGGAGGCAAACACGAGAGGUAGGUCACUUGAGCCCUGUGGACUGUUUUAAAGUCCUCGGUUCUCCAGGGCCAGCUGCCCUGCAGCCAAGUCCACCCCUGGCCCUCAAGAGAAGCUGCUUUUAGUCUUUUCCCUCUUCCUGGUUUUGUCCCUGCUCUGGCCAGAACCCCCGCCCUGCUCUCCUUUCCUGUGCAGUAUGUUUUCCAGCGGGCUUGCAGGGUUUGGGUAUGUGUGUGGGGGGGGGGGAUUCUGAGCACUGUCAUUCACUUUGUUCCCUGUUCUUUCACCCGUGGGCAGCUUUCUUUGACCCUCACUGCCCACUUGAACUGAGCUUUCACAGCAUCCAGAAGUGUCAUUUGUGAAGGCGGCCAGCAUCCUCAGAGGUUCCGUGGGUUAUGACUCAGAUCCCCCAGGAGCCCCCAGUCCAUUCCUUAGCUGACUUAGCUUCACAGCAUUUCCGGAUUCCACAGGGAAGUGGACUCUACCCAACACCCCCAAGGUCAGCUCCUCAGCACUGCUUCCUAUUGAGCAGGCAGGAAGUGUGCAGGAGUCUCCAGGAAGCCUGUCAGGGGGAGAUUCCUGCAGUUGAAAGGGCAGCACCAUCAAGGAUCUAAGCUGGCCUUAGAAGUUAACAAGAAAUGGAUGUUAUAAUCUCAAAAAUAAAUGGGGAGGGGUGAUUUAGAAGUUUUUAUUUUCUAUUCACAUGCUAUGAAAUAUGCUAUUUUAUGCUAUUGAUUUGCUAUUUCAAUAAAAGUUUACUAGUCCUGAGAAGUGGCUUCAUUUUGGAAAAGCCUGAUUGUAAACACGGCAGAACUAUUUUACCCCAGAGCAAAAGGCCAGAUCCAAGCAGACAGUGAGGCAGCUGAGGUCAAGGGCACUCCUCUCUGUUCCUAAGCUCCCAGAAUGCCAUCUGUUGAGACAUUCCUCUUUAAUAAAUCAUUGAGAACAAGAGACCCUGGGCUAGUUCGGGGUUAGUAAAGUUGAGUGCAGUUAGGGAAAGAGAAAGAAAGCAGAAUUGUCUGGGUUCUUACGCAAGAAAAGUACAAAGUGUAGUUUAUAAAGGACAUGAAACACUCCUUUAUGCCACAAAUGGUCUCAUUGAACACCACACUGACCAGAUUUCCUCCACAUCUGUGAUUAUACCUACAACCACAGGA
This is a long non-coding RNA of Peromyscus leucopus (white-footed mouse), 2020 nucleotides long. RefSeq lists it as uncharacterized. The transcript is spliced from 3 exons. The record is from RefSeq and is a predicted model, not a curated record. Lineage: Eukaryota; Metazoa; Chordata; Mammalia; Rodentia; Cricetidae.